AUUAUUGCACAAUGGAGGAAACCCUGAUCCACCGCCGCCCCGUGAGCGAUGAAGGCUUCCGAGUCGUAAAGCUCUGUCCUAGGGGACGAUAAUUACGGUACCCUAGGAGGAAGCCCCGGCUACCUACGUGCCAGCAGCCGCGGUAAUACGUAGGGGGCGAGCGUUAUCCGGAAUUAUUGGGCGUAAAGGGUUCGCAGGCGGUCUUUUAAGUCAGAUGUGAAAGCCCACGGCUUAACCGUGGUAAGCAUUUGAAACUGGAAGGCUUGAGUUAAGGAGAGGAAAGUGGAAUUCCUAGUGUAGCGGUGAAAUGCGUAGAUAUUAGGAGGAAUACCAGUGGCGAAGGCGACUUGCUGGACUUAUACUGACGCUGAGGAACGAAAGCGUGGGGAGCAAACA
Molecule: ribosomal RNA, 396 nt
Filed under: uncultured bacterium
Lineage: Bacteria
Description: partial 16S ribosomal RNA
Rfam family: Bacterial small subunit ribosomal RNA
Source: RNAcentral